CCGCGUGAUCACCGUGCCGGAGUCUAUCACCGUGCCGGCUCCGGUGGCGGGGUCGAACGCGAACGCCCCCGCGGGGACCUUCACCCACGCCCGACCCACGCUCAGCCCCGUCACGUUCACGUAGUACAGUGACGGCCGGUGCGGGUUGCUCAGCAGCGGCGUGUACCGGGCGUUCCGGGGCUGCCCGGCGGCGCCCAGCCGGAGCGACCCCGAGAAGUAGUAAGACUUGUAGCUCGGCAGGCAGUAGGAGAAAACGCCGUUGUACCUGCUCCCGGUCUGGGACAGCAGGGACAUGGGGCCACGGCCGAGGCCGAGGAGACCCUGCUUGGGCAGGUUGGUGGUCGGCCCGGUCACGGCGCCCACGCACCCGAACGCGUAGUUGGCGAUGGCGUCCUUGCCCAGGCGCAGCGUGUCGCUGCCCAACGACGCCUGGAAGGAGGCGUCGGCGAAGGGCUUGGAGAAGGCGCACGUCGGCAUCGACGCGCCGGCGUCCUGGUUCGCCGGGCACGGCUGCCCCUGGAAGAGCGGGCACCAGUCGGAGGCGCACGGGAGCGCGGCGUACGAGGAGGAGCUGGCAGGGAUGAAGCGGCUGCCGGCGGGGCAGGUGUCGCAGGGGGCGCAGUGCGCCCAGGUGGCGUCGGCGCUGGUGUCGAGCGCGAGGAGGGUCUGCUGCACCGGGGUGCCGAGCCCCGCGCGGACGACGUACGACGGCGGGGCCUGACCGGAGGCCACGGGCGCCGAGGUGACGCCGGGCGAGGCCGCCGCCUUGGACGAGAGGAAGAGAAGGCGCGCGUCGUCGGCGCGCGCCAGCGCGAUGAUGGACUCCAGGGGGGACGGGGACGGCGGGUGCACGUUGUGGUACACGGACAGGUCGGCGGCCGAGGCCGCAGUGGCGGCCAGGAGGAGGACGAGGAGGGUGGUGGCCGCCAUGGCGAGCGAGCUGGGAGGUGUCAGUUGAGUGUGAGGGCGUGAGUG
RNAcentral lists this long non-coding RNA (975 nucleotides) under Setaria italica (foxtail millet). RNAcentral describes it as "long non-coding RNA (SITA_LNC007359)". Lineage: Eukaryota; Viridiplantae; Streptophyta; Magnoliopsida; Poales; Poaceae. The record is from RNAcentral.